CGCGUGGUGUCCAGCGUUAGGGCUGGAAGGGCGACGCGGCCUAUUUUAAGGU
RNAcentral lists this non-coding RNA (52 nucleotides) under Shigella sonnei. RNAcentral describes it as "L31-Gammaproteobacteria ribosomal protein leader". It matches the Rfam family "L31-Gammaproteobacteria ribosomal protein leader". The record is from RNAcentral. Lineage: Bacteria; Pseudomonadati; Pseudomonadota; Gammaproteobacteria; Enterobacterales; Enterobacteriaceae.